UCCCCUCCUCCCUCCUCCUCCUUGAGUUAGACAGUGAAAGGAUUCAGAACACAUCCCUCUUGCUGGGGGUGGAUCUGCAGAAGCUCUGUGGGGGCUGUGGGGCUUGCAGGGGUGCUGGAGUUCUGAGAGGAGCAGAAAGCUGGGGGAAGGAAGAAGAGCAGUGCCCCAUCUUCAUCCAGGAGCAGGGCGGCAUCUGUGGACAGGGUGACCUUCGACGGGCGCUGCAGCUUCACUUCUGAAAUAUGAGGUGAACUAGAUGGCCCCUGUAACCCUACCAGUUCUGAUGAUCCACACUGGGCUGCACUGCCAGGCAGGGCCAGCCUGGGCAAGAUUGCUAGAGACAAGCACACAGAAGUCCCAUGCACACAGAAAUGUCCUCACACACACUGAAGAAUAAUCCUAUUUGGAGCAGCCUCACUAUGAUGCUCUUCUUCCAGGAGCUAACUGCCUAGAAUGGAGUUCUGUUUUAGAGAAC
This is a long non-coding RNA of Rattus rattus (black rat), 475 nucleotides long. RefSeq lists it as uncharacterized. The record is from RefSeq and is a predicted model, not a curated record. The transcript has 4 exons. Lineage: Eukaryota; Metazoa; Chordata; Mammalia; Rodentia; Muridae.